Molecule: ribosomal RNA, 542 nt
Filed under: uncultured bacterium
Lineage: Bacteria
Description: partial 16S ribosomal RNA
Rfam family: Bacterial small subunit ribosomal RNA
Source: RNAcentral
UGGGGAAUUUUGGACAAUGGGCGAAAGCCUGAUCCAGCAAUGCCGCGUGUGUGAAGAAGGCCUUCGGGUUGUAAAGCACUUUUGUCCGGAAAGAAAUCCUUGGCUCUAAUACAGUCGGGGGAUGACGUACCGGAAGAAUAAGCACCGGCUAACUACGUGCCAGCAGCCGCGGUAAUACGUAGGGUGCAAGCGUUAAUCGGAAUUACUGGGCGUAAAGCGUGCGCAGGCGGUUUGCUAAGACCGAUGUGAAAAUCCCCGGGCUCAACCUGGGAACUGCAUUGGUGACUGGCAGGCUAGAGUAUGGCAGAGGGGGGUAGAAUUCCACGUGUAGCAGUGAAAUGCGUAGAGAUGUGGAGGAAUACCGAUGGCGAAGGCAGCCCCCUGGGCCAAUACUGACGCUCAUGCACGAAAGCGUGGGGAGCAAACAGGAUUAGAUACCCUGGUAGUCCACGCCCUAAAACGAUGUCAACUAGUUGUUGGGGAUUCAUUUCCUUAGUAACGUAGCUAACGCGUGAAGUUGACCGCCUGGGGAGUACGGUCGC